This 459-nucleotide ribosomal RNA is filed under the name uncultured bacterium. Its description in RNAcentral is "partial 16S ribosomal RNA". It matches the Rfam family "Bacterial small subunit ribosomal RNA", at positions 338 to 795 of the family's 1533-position model. The record is from RNAcentral.
CCUACGGGUGGCUGCAGUGAGGAAUAUUGGUCAAUGGCCGGGAGGCUGAACCAGCCAAGUCGCGUGAGGGAAGCCGGCCCUACGGGUUGUAAACCUCUUUUGUCAGGGAGCAAGGUGCAGGUCGGGACCUGCUGUGAGAGUACCUGAAGAAAAAGCAUCGGCUAACUCCGUGCCAGCACCCGCGGUAAUACGGAGGAUGCGAGCGUUAUCCGGAUUUAUUGGGUUUAAGGGGUGCACAGGCGGAGGCACAAGUCAGCGGUAAACUCGCGGGGCGCAACCCCGCUCCGCCGUUGAAACUGUGUGCCUUGAGGGGGCGAAGGGGAGGCGGAAUGCGUGGUGUAGCGGUGAAAUGCAUAGAUAGCACGCAGAACUCCGAUCGCGAAGGCAGCCUACCGGCGCGCAACUGACGCUCAUGCACGAAAGCGUGGGUAUCGAACAGGAUUAGAUACCCGGGUAGUC